GACGGAGGAUGCAAGCGUUAUCCGGAAUUAUUGGGCGUAAAGCGUCCGCAGGUGGCUGUUCAAGUCUGCUGUCAAAGCGCAGAGCUUAACUCUGUACAGGCGGUGGAAACUGAAGAGCUAGAGUAUGGUAGGGGUAGAGGGAAUUCCCGGUGUAGCGGUGAAAUGCGUAGAUAUCGGGAAGAACACCAGUGGCGAAAGCGGUCUACUGGGCCAUAACUGACACUGAGGGACGAAAGCUAGGGGAGCGAAAGGG
This 253-nucleotide ribosomal RNA is filed under the name uncultured bacterium. RNAcentral's name for it is "partial 16S ribosomal RNA". It matches the Rfam family "Bacterial small subunit ribosomal RNA", at positions 524 to 776 of the family's 1533-position model. The record is from RNAcentral.